Molecule: ribosomal RNA, 604 nt
Filed under: uncultured bacterium
Lineage: Bacteria
Description: bacterial SSU rRNA
Rfam family: Bacterial small subunit ribosomal RNA
Source: RNAcentral
AAACUCAAAGAAUUGACGGGGCCCGCACAAGCGGUGGAGUAUGUGGUUCAAUUCGAUGCUACGCGGAAAACCUACCUGGGUUUGACAUCCCGGGCUACCCUGUGAAAGCAGGGGUUCCCUUCGGGGACUCGGAGACAGGUGCUGCAUGGCUGUCGUCAGCUCGUGUUGUGAGAUGUUGGGUUAAGUCCCGCAACGAGCGCAACCCUCGCCCUUAGUUACCAUCAUUCAGUUGGGGACUCUAAGGGGACCGCUUGGCUAUAAGCCAGAGGAAGGUGGGGAUGACGUCAAGUCCUCAUGGCCUUUAUAUCCAGGGCAACACACGUACCACAAUGGGAGAGCACAAAGCGCAGCGAGCUCGCAAGAGCAAGCAAAUCGCAAAAAAUCUCCCUCAGUUCGGAUUGGGGUCUGCAACUCGACCCCAUGAAGCUGGAAUCGCUAGUAAUCGCGGAUCAGCAUGCCGCGGUGAAUACGUUCCCGGGCCUUGUACACACCGCCCGUCACACCAUGGGAGUGAGAUGUACCGGAAAGCGCUGAGCUAACCCGCAAGGGGGGCAGGUGUUUAUGGUAUGGCUCAUGACUGGGGUGGAGUCGUAACAAGGUAACC